UACGUAGGGGGCAAGCGUUGUCCGGAUUUAUUGGGCGUAAAGAGCGUGUAGGCGGCCAGGCAGGUCCGCUGUGAAAACUCGAGGCUCAACCUCGAGAGGUCGGUGGAAACCGUCUGGCUAGAGUCCGGAAGAGGAGAGUGGAAUUCCCGGUGUAGCGGUGAAAUGCGCAGAUAUCGGGAAGAACACCCGUGGCGAAGGCGGCUCUCUGGACCGUAACUGACGCUGAGGAGCGAAAGCGUGGGGAGCGAACAGG
Molecule: ribosomal RNA, 253 nt
Filed under: uncultured bacterium
Lineage: Bacteria
Description: partial 16S ribosomal RNA
Rfam family: Bacterial small subunit ribosomal RNA
Source: RNAcentral